GUGGGGAAUUUUGGACAAUGGGCGCAAGCCUGAUCCAGCCAUUCCGCGUGCAGGAUGAAGGCCUUCGGGUUGUAAACUGCUUUUGUACGGAACGAAAAGCCUCUGGUUAAUACCCGGGGGUCAUGACGGUACCGUAAGAAUAAGCACCGGCUAACUACGUGCCAGCAGCCGCGGUAAUACGUAGGGUGCGAGCGUUAAUCGGAAUUACUGGGCGUAAAGCGUGCGCAGGCGGUGAUGUAAGACAGUUGUGAAAUCCCCGGGCUCAACCUGGGAACUGCAUCGGUGACUGCAUUGCUGGAGUGCGGCAGAGGGGGAUGGAAUUCCGCGUGUAGCAGUGAAAUGCGUAGAUAUGCGGAGGAACACCGAUGGCGAAGGCAAUCCCCUGGGCCUGCACUGACGCUCAUGCACGAAAGCGUGGGGAGCAAACAGGAUUAGAAACCCGUGUAGUCC
Molecule: ribosomal RNA, 450 nt
Filed under: uncultured bacterium
Lineage: Bacteria
Description: partial 16S ribosomal RNA
Rfam family: Bacterial small subunit ribosomal RNA
Source: RNAcentral